AAGCAUAUCAAUAAGCGGAGGAAAAGAAACCAACAGGGAUUGCCCCAGUAACGGCGAGUGAAGCGGCAACAGCUCAAAUUUGAAAUCUGGCUCCCCCGGGUGCCCGAGUUGUAAUUUGCAGAGGGUGCUUUGGCGUCGGCAGCGGCCUAAGUUCCUUGGAACAGGGCGUCAUAGAGGGUGAGAACCCCGUACGUGGCCGCCCGCCUUCGCCGUGUAAAGCCCCUUCGACGAGUCGAGUUGUUUGGGAAUGCAGCUCUAAAUGGGAGGUAAAUUCCUUCUAAAGCUAAAUACUGGCCAGAGACCGAUAGCGCACAAGUAGAGUGAUCGAAAGAUGAAAAGCACUUUGGAAAGAGAGUCAAACAGCACGUGAAAUUGUUGAAAGGGAAGCGCUUGCAGCCAGACUUGCCCGCGGUCGUUCUUCUUCCGCGGGCAGGCCAGCAUCAGUCUGGGCGGUUGGAUAAAGGCCCUGGGAAUGUAGCUCUCUUCGGGGAGUGUUAUAGCCCGGGGCGCCAUGCGGCCAGCCCGGACUGAGGUCCGCGCAUCUGCUAGGAUGCUGGCGUAAUGGCUGUAAGCGGCCCGUCUUGAAACACGGACCAAGGAGUCUAACAUCUAUGCGAGUGUUUGGGUGUCAAGCCCGGGCGCGCAAUGAAAGUGAACGGAGGUGGGAACCCCUCGGGGCGCACCAUCGACCGAUCCUGAUGUCUUCGGAUGGAUUUGAGUAAGAGCAUAGCUGUUGGGACCCGAAAGAUGGUGAACUAUGCCUGAAUAGGGUGAAGCCAGAGGAAACUCUGGUGGAGGCUCGCAGCGGUUCUGACGUGCAAAUCGAUCGUCAAAUUUGGGCAUAGGGGCGAAAGACUAAUCGAACUAUCUAGUAGCUGGUUCCUGCCGAAGUUUCCCUCAGGAUAGCAGUAACGUUUUCAGUUUUAUGAGGUAAAGCGAAUGAUUAGAGGCCUGGGGGUUGAAACAACCUUCACCUAUUCUCAAACUUUAAAUAUGUAAGAAGUCCUUGUUACUUAA
RNAcentral lists this ribosomal RNA (1017 nucleotides) under Anteaglonium globosum. Its description in RNAcentral is "eukaryotic LSU rRNA". It matches the Rfam family "Eukaryotic large subunit ribosomal RNA", at positions 36 to 1094 of the family's 3401-position model. Lineage: Eukaryota; Fungi; Ascomycota; Dothideomycetes; Pleosporales; Anteagloniaceae. The record is from RNAcentral.